CAUGGAGGGUGAGAAUCCCGUCCGGUUGAUCAUUUGCGUUUUACGAUACGCUUUCUAAGAGUCAAGUUGUUUGGGAUUGCAGCUUAAAAUGGGAGGUAAAUUUCUCCUAAGGCUAAAUAACGGCGAGAGACCGAUAGCGAACAAGUACCGUGAGGGAAGGAUGAAAAGAACUUUGAAAAGAGAGUUAAACAGUACGUGAAAUUGUUGAAAGGGAAACGAUUGAAGCCAGUCGUACCUUCGGGUAAUCAGCCUUUCGGGUGCGAUUCUGUGGAGUGUGAGGAGCUUAACACCUUCAUGCUUUGCAUAUUUGUGCUCUUGGGUGUACUUGCCCGUGUGGUUGGUUAACAUCAAUUUUGGUUAUCAUAAAAUGACUGGAGGAAUGUAGCUUCGAUUUCGUAUUGAAGUGUUAUAGCCUUCGGUAGAUGUGAUGAACGAGAUUGAGGAUUGCAACGGAUACCCUUCGGGGCUACCUGUCUGGUCUCUGAUCGUUGCUCUGGUGCCGAAAGCUUGCUUACGGUUAUCAAAGUCGAUGGUCAAUAGGUUAGAACGGAUUAAAUUCGUUAAGGAUGUUGACGUAAUG
Molecule: ribosomal RNA, 580 nt
Filed under: uncultured Glomus
Lineage: Eukaryota; Fungi; Glomeromycota; Glomeromycetes; Glomerales; Glomeraceae
Description: eukaryotic LSU rRNA
Rfam family: Eukaryotic large subunit ribosomal RNA
Source: RNAcentral